RNAcentral lists this non-coding RNA (46 nucleotides) under Schistosoma margrebowiei. The record is from RNAcentral. Lineage: Eukaryota; Metazoa; Platyhelminthes; Trematoda; Strigeidida; Schistosomatidae.
GCACUGCUGAGGAGUCCCACAAUAGGACGAAAUGGCCACCCAGUGU